This 28-nucleotide non-coding RNA is filed under the name Mus musculus (house mouse). The record is from RNAcentral. Lineage: Eukaryota; Metazoa; Chordata; Mammalia; Rodentia; Muridae.
CUAGUGUGCCUUUCAUGUCUCCUCGUGU